UGGUGGCAGACUUGGUUGAGGGCAUGCCAUCUUCUACGAUUGUUGAUGAGGUAGUCUUUGCUUCACUUCUAUUUCUAUUUUGUUCGUUAUAGUGAGCAUCUUUAAUAUUGGCAAUUUUCCUUGUAGGAUGCUAACAGGAUUGUGCGUUCUAUCCAAGACUUGUUCACUUCCUGGGGGCAAGUCCAGACGUCUCGCCCUGCUCCAUCUGAUCGUCCUGCUGCUUCUUCAGAGGAAGAUUUGAAGUUCCUGAAGGAGUCGAUAUUUGAGUACGUAUCCUUCAUGGAUAUGGAUAUUGGAAGGGCUAGUGCUGCCAGACACAAGGAUGAACUUGAG
Molecule: long non-coding RNA, 333 nt
Filed under: Olea europaea (common olive)
Lineage: Eukaryota; Viridiplantae; Streptophyta; Magnoliopsida; Lamiales; Oleaceae
Description: long non-coding RNA (OEUR_LNC008956)
Source: RNAcentral